UUAUGUCAUAUAUAUGUUAUGUUUAACAAUUAUUUUUAUUGUGAAAGAUUUUCAGGUGAAAGGUUGCGGCUGCUAUACCGUUGGAAAAUUAAGGUCACAUAUACUUUUCUAAAAUUAAUAAAAUUUUAUCCCUCAAGUCCCAAUUUUUAUAGAAUCAACAAAAUAAUAUGAUAAAGAAAGCUUACCUCUGUGUAUGGCACAUCAAACUCACUUUCAGUAUCCCUAAUUAAAGAAUACAUUAACGUAAAUUACCGAGAGAGAAAUCACACGGUCCCGCGUUUUGCGACAAUUUUGUAUAUGGCGGAUUGGAGGGAGAUAAAGAGGAGGAAUGCGUACGCAGCGCUAACUAUGUCUCUAGAUGUAGACGUGGAACUAUUUAGCCACAUGCGCUAGAUAAAUACGCAGUGAAAGAGGUUGCGCUGCUAUAUACCGUGAAAAAUAAAGGACACAUUUUCCAAAAUCAAUAAAAUUGUACCCUUCAAGUCCCAGUUUUUACAGAAUCAACGUAAUAAUAUGAUAAAGAAAGCUUACCUCUGUGUAUGGCACAUCAAACCCACUUUCAGUAUCACUAAUUAAAGAAUAAAUUAACGUAAAUUACGGAGAGAGAAAUCACACACGAUCCCGCGUUUUGCGACAAUUUUGUAUAUGGCGGAUUGGAGGGAGAUAAAGAGGAGGAAUGCGUACGCAGCGCUAACUAUGUCUCUAGAUGUAGACGUGGAACUAUUUAGCCACAUCCGCUAGAUAAAUACGCAGUGAAAGAGGUUGCGCUGCUAUAUACCGUGAAAAAUAAAGGACAUUUUCCAAAAUCAAUAAAAUUGUACCCUUAAAGUCCCAGUUUUUACAGAAUCAACGUAAUAAUAUGAUAAAGAAAGCUUACCUCUGUGUAUGGCACAUCAAACCCACUUUCAGUAUCCUAAUUAAAGAAUAAAUUAACGUAAAUUACCGAGAGAGCAAUCACACACGGUCCCGCGUUUUGCGACAAUUUUGUAUAUGGCGGAUUGGAGGGAAAUAAAGAGGAGAAAUGCGUACGCAGCGCUAACUAUGUCUCUAGAUGUAGACGUGGAACUAUUUAGCCAUAUCCGCUAGAUAAAUACGCAGUAGGUAUUUGGUUUUGUUCCAUGCUACAUUCACAAAAAAAAGGUUCAGCUUUUUUUAA
Molecule: non-coding RNA, 1156 nt
Organism: Nylanderia fulva
Lineage: Eukaryota; Metazoa; Arthropoda; Insecta; Hymenoptera; Formicidae
Source: RefSeq, a predicted model, not a curated record